CCUACGGGUGGCAACAGUCGAGAAUCAUUCACAAUGGGGGAAACCCUGAUGGUGCGACGCCGCGUGGGAGAAUGAAGGUCUUCGGAUUGUAAACCCCUGUCAUGUGGGAGCAAAUUAAAAAGAUAGUACCACAAGAGGAAGAGACGGCUAACUCUGUGCCAGCAGCCGCGGUAAUACAGAGGUCUCAAGCGUUGUUCGGAAUCACUGGGCGUCAAGCGUGCGUAGGCUGUUUCGUAAGUCGUGUGUGAAAGGCGCGGGCUCAACCCGCGGACGGCACAUGAUACUGCGAGACUAGAGUAAUGGAGGGGGAACCGGAAUUCUCGGUGUAGCAGUGAAAUGCGUAGAUAUCGAGAGGAACACUCGGGGCGAAGGCGGGUUCCUGGACAUUAACUGACGCUGAGGCACGAAGGCCAGGGGAGCGAAAGGGAUUAGAUACCCCAGUAGUC
RNAcentral lists this ribosomal RNA (446 nucleotides) under uncultured bacterium. RNAcentral describes it as "partial 16S ribosomal RNA". It matches the Rfam family "Bacterial small subunit ribosomal RNA", at positions 338 to 795 of the family's 1533-position model. The record is from RNAcentral.